RNAcentral lists this ribosomal RNA (387 nucleotides) under uncultured eukaryote. Its description in RNAcentral is "SSU rRNA". It matches the Rfam family "Eukaryotic small subunit ribosomal RNA", at positions 587 to 972 of the family's 1831-position model. The record is from RNAcentral.
AGCUCCAAGAGCGUAUAUUAAAGUUGUUGCAGUUAAAAGCUCGUAGUUGGAUUUCUGGUACAAUGCGCCUGGCCCGCGACGGUUACGUCUGUGAGUGCCGGUGCGCGUUUGCCAUCCUUCUAGAGAACGUUGCUACCCUUUACUGGGCUGGUUUCGCGAUCUAGAUCUUUUACUUUGAAAAAUUAGAGUGUUCAAAGCAGGCUGUUGCUGUGCAUACAUUAGCAUGGAAUAAUAAUCUAGGACUUCGGUUCUAUUUUGUUGGUUUCUAGUACUGAAGUAAUGAUUGAUAGGGAUAGUUGGGGGUGCUAGUAUUGGCCGGCCAGAGGUGAAAUUCUUGGAUUCGGUCAAGACUAACUUAUGCGAAAGCAUUCACCAAGGAUGUCUUCU